UAUUCACCAGAAAAUCUCUCGCUCCUUCCUUUUUCGUUCUCAGGGAGAGGCGGCAAAGAGAGAGAAAGGGGAGCAGCCGCCGCUUCUUCCACCGGCCCAUCCCCCGCCGGUCGCAGCCGCAUACCCUAGGCCUGGUUCUUGAGGGAGUACCUCCUGCGGCAAGCCACGGGAGCCAGCAUCGUCCGUGCCCCGCCGACGAGAUCUAGAAUCCCUUAGAUUUCUCCGUCCUUGGUUGGGUUGUGCCAAGGUUCCGGCGUGGCCUAGCUGCUAGUUAAGUUGUGGGCUGAUCUCACCAUGAAGCUACUGUCCCACUUCUUCACAAAAGGCAGUAAAUAGGUAAUCCUUACCUCUCUAAUUUUUUUCUGCAAUUUAAUUUAGUUGUCACUGCAAAAAAAUUAAAAAAUGAAAAAAAUACAUUUGAGAGUUUUGUUGGUUGAUCUAAUGAUUUAAUCAAUGCAUGGUUUGUGAGACUGCCAUACUUAUAGGAAUGUGAGUAUUUUAGACGGUUGAGAAUUAAGGAUAUGGGAUGUACCACGACCCUAAGUUCGAGCACACUACCUGUGAAAGAAAUCUUUAUGAGUGAUGCACCACAAUCUACAAAGAUGUGUGUUCCAUUUCAUUGUUUCUUUAUCAUUUAGCCAAUGUCACCGCUUGGUCGGCAACAUGUUGAAGUUGUUCUCGAUGCUAAAAACUUGCAACAUGCUGAAUUUCGCACCCUUGAUAAAAUGGGUUGCAAAUUUAGCUGGGCAGCCCCCCUCCUCUGCUGUGGUGCUAACUGAUGCAACAAAGUGAUCAGCUUACAACAACACCACCAGCAAAUUUUGCUUCGCAGAAGAAUGAAAAGGUCUCCUGUACUAAAGAGAUUCCAGGGAGAG
Long non-coding RNA from Triticum urartu, 875 nucleotides. RefSeq lists it as uncharacterized. Lineage: Eukaryota; Viridiplantae; Streptophyta; Magnoliopsida; Poales; Poaceae. The record is from RefSeq and is a predicted model, not a curated record.